GGAGCGGUAGUUCAGUUGGUUAGAAUACCGGCCUGUCACGCCGGGGGUCGCGGGUUCGAGUCCCGUCCGUUCCGCCA
Molecule: transfer RNA, 77 nt
Filed under: Vibrio vulnificus
Lineage: Bacteria; Pseudomonadati; Pseudomonadota; Gammaproteobacteria; Vibrionales; Vibrionaceae
Also listed under: 27 other names
Description: tRNA-Asp
Rfam family: tRNA
About the family: Transfer RNA (tRNA) molecules are approximately 80 nucleotides in length.
Source: RNAcentral